This 465-nucleotide ribosomal RNA is filed under the name uncultured soil bacterium. Its description in RNAcentral is "bacterial SSU rRNA". It matches the Rfam family "Bacterial small subunit ribosomal RNA", at positions 26 to 518 of the family's 1533-position model. The record is from RNAcentral.
AGGACGAACGCUGGCGGCGUGCUUAACACAUGCAAGUCGAACGAGGGUAGCAAUACCCUAGUGGCGGACGGGUGAGUAACGCGUAGGUAACCUGCCUCAUAGUGGGGGAUACCCAGCCGAAAGGUUGGCUAAUACCGCAUAAGCUGUUGGAUUGAGAUGUCCAUCAGGAAAGAUUUAUCGCUAAGAGAGGGGUCUGCGUUCGAUUAGCUAGUUGGUGAGGUAAUGGCUCACCAAGGCGACGAUCGAUAGCUGGUCUGAGAGGACGAUCAGCCACACUGGAACUGAGACACGGUCCAGACUCCUACGGGAGGCAGCAGUGGGAAUUUCCGCAAUGGGCGAAAGCCUGACGGAGCAACGCCGCGUGGACGAUGACGGCUUUCGGGUUGUAAAGUCCUUUCAGCAGGACGAAAAAAAUGACGGUACCUGACAGAAGAAGCAUCGACUAACUACGUGCCAGCAGCCGAC